AACAGAUGACCCAAUGUUGCUUAAGUUAGAACAUGCACCGCGUGUGCCCAGCUCCCCGGGAAGUGGGGUUGGCGCGUGUGGGUUUUUCUAAAGAGAAAUAUGGCCCGUAAUUUAAAAAUGCAUCCCCCCUCCUCAGGGGUAGCCAAAAUAACAAGUGGACUGCAAGGUAAACCUGUUUAAUGAAAAGCCGAGGGCCGUGGUGGGCAUCUCUUGCUAAAAGGGAGAAGAAAAUUUUGAGACCAUCACAGACAAUGCUGCUACAACCAGUCUUGUACAUAAACCUUGGGACACGUGUACCGGUUGCUCCAAGCAUAGGACUGAAAUACCAAAUCUCAGGCAUGGUCAAUGAGUGGAGUACAUCUGUACCUGGGAUCUGAAGUCGCAAACCUGGGCCGCGGAAGCAGAACAUGUGAAACUUUAACCACUCAGCCCCAGAUUUUCAAAUUAAUAGGAAAAAAUCAAGCUACAGAACAGCAUGUUUAUCAUACUACCAUUGGUGUAAAGAACGGAAAAAGAAUAGAUGUCUGCAUUUAUGUACAUGCAUAGAAGUGCUUCAGAAGUUGAGGAAACACACAAAUUCCUAUGAAUCAGAGAGAUAUUUCCCAGUAUCAAGCUUUGUAAGAAUGGCCAGGACGUCUACAAUCAAAUGCUCGGAUGAAGCAGAGAGAAGUCUGUGACGUCAUGGCGGCUACCUCGCACCAUCAGCUAGAGAUGUAUUCUCUAUGUGAGGUUCACAGGAUCACCUUCCACAGUGGGAGCAUUUUAUUAUGAAGCAUCUCCAAUUUAUGCCCAGGAAUAGCCAACCUGACAUUCUCCCUAGAGCUCACCUGUACUAUAGGUCAUCGUUAGCCAGGGCCUGCCUUCUAAGGGCCUUUCAGAGACAAUACUUCCACCUCCUAAUAAAUGUCAGUAAGUCUAUUUACCUGGAGGUCCAGAUUACCGAAGUUAGACUAAGUCCCUUUGAGGCAUGUUCCCUGUAAAGGAGUGAGUAGAUCUCAGACAGCUAAUUUAACUCCCUCCCAGAAGGAUUCAUUAAAAUGUCUCGGGGAAGUUGGACAGCUGGGAAUGAGUGUUGGGUUAACAAUUCUUUGUACUGAAUCCUCACUGUUAACAAACUGGUGAGGUUUCUGUCCUCUGAGUAGACACUGAUGGAUGAACCCCUUCUGCCGCCCUGAAGAGCUGUUUGAAUCUUCUCUGUGGAAAUCUUGGUAAAUUUCUCAUCCAGGAUAAUCAGAAGUAAACAAAUACUUAGUAAACAUUCAUCUUUCUUCUGAAAUUAAAAUGACAGAGACUCCUAAUGACAGGACAGAAGAACACAAAGGGAGACUGAGCCAACAGGCCACUUAUUUUGGCAAAGUAUGUGCCUUGAUACUACAGUGAAAAUAGAGCGUUACAAUUAUUGUUACUGAAACUGACUGGAAAAAUACAGUUCAAUGACUUCAAAAAUAGGAAGACACUUUGACCUUGAAACUGGAAACAUCA
This 1482-nucleotide long non-coding RNA is filed under the name Equus asinus (donkey). RNAcentral's name for it is "lncRNA (ENSEASG00005033499.1)". The record is from RNAcentral. Lineage: Eukaryota; Metazoa; Chordata; Mammalia; Perissodactyla; Equidae.